GUGCCAGCAGCCGCGGUAAUACGUAGGCAGCGAGCGUUGUUCGGAGUUACUGGGCGUAAAGGGUGCGUAGGCGGCCUUUUAAGUUUGGUGUGAAAUCUCCCGGCUCAACCGGGAGGGUGCGCCGGAUACUGAGGGGCUAGAGUGCGGGAGAGGAAAGUGGAAUUCCUGGUGUAGCGGUGAAAUGCGUAGAUAUCAGGAGGAACACCUGCGGUGUAAACGGCUUUCUGGACCGUAACUGACGCUGAGGCACGAAAGCGUGGGUAGCAAACAGGAUUAGAAACCCGCGUAGUCC
Molecule: ribosomal RNA, 292 nt
Filed under: uncultured bacterium
Lineage: Bacteria
Description: partial 16S ribosomal RNA
Rfam family: Bacterial small subunit ribosomal RNA
Source: RNAcentral